RNAcentral lists this ribosomal RNA (253 nucleotides) under uncultured bacterium. RNAcentral describes it as "partial 16S ribosomal RNA". It matches the Rfam family "Bacterial small subunit ribosomal RNA", at positions 524 to 776 of the family's 1533-position model. The record is from RNAcentral.
UACGAAGGGGGCUAGCGUUGCUCGGAAUCACUGGGCGUAAAGGGUGCGUAGGCGGGUCUUUAAGUCCGGGGGGAAAUCCUGGAGCUCAACUCCAGAACUGCCUUUGAUACUGAAGAUCUUGAGUUCGGGAGAGGUGAGUGGAACUGCGAGUGUAGAGGUGAAAUUCGUAGAUAUUCGCAAGAACACCAGUGGCGAAGGCGGCUCACUGGCCCGAUACUGACGCUGAGGCACGAAAGCGUGGGGAGCAAACAGG